UGAAUAGUCUUGGAGCAGUCAUCAAGGUGAAUGAUGGGAAGGGAAAAUGACUUUGGUUGAGCGUUGCUGAGGAGCCGGCUAAGGACAGAGAUAACUGGAAGAGCCCACGAGCAUAAUUUUGUGUGUCUCUUGCAUGGGUUGCAGUUUGGGAAUAGGGGUGGGCUCUGGUGGAUCACCGGGAGAAUGACAGUUUCUCCCAGGACUUGGUAGGACUUGGUACAAGUCAGGGAAACAAGGAAGAUGUUGAGCCACUUACCAGUGUGGAGGAAUGUCCUGGAGGUUGGUAGGUCAUGGCAAAGAUGGAAGAACUUCUGAAGAGGAGUUAGCUUGUCUGGUGACCUUGGAGAAUGAGCCAAGUGGAAAGGUUAGGAGGAAAGAUCCAGGCAAGUCUGAGUUUCAGUUCAGGAGGGAAGUAGGAGUGUUUUAAGGAAAGGUCGAGGGCAGAUGAGAGCUGUUGGCCGCUCCUUCAACCAUUCCUCAUAAUGGCAGCUGGAGGCUCUAUCUGAUGCUGCCUUGAGAAAACACAGCCCUCCAGCUAGGUAUGACCGGAGAAGUAGGGGUUUUCUGGUACUUUGUUAAUGCAUUCCAAGACUGUGUUAACUUUUUGUCAUCCUGUCCCACUGUGGCCUGCAGUCCAAGAAGAGCUCUGAUCUUAGGGCAGGCUUCCCCCAUCCUGUCUUGGAGUUGACCAAAGGGCAGCACUGUACUUUCUUAUUCGGUUUCAUUAUGUUGCUUCCAUCUCCUCCUUCCAUCCUGUUAGGGUUAUUUUAUAGUUCUGAUGCUUCACCCAGUAUGCUGGCUGUUCCUCACAACGUGGUCUCAUCUUGCAGCUUAGAUAGGUUGUUUCUAAUUCUUUAAGACUUUAGGGAACAUGCUGGAUGUAACUAGGAUCAGAACGCCCUUGAACCUGUCACCAUGCACCUCUUUCAAAGCUGACCAUGAUUCACCUCGAUUCAUCCCCGCUACCACUUUCUGGUAGGCCUCGUAGCUGGCUAUAAAUCACAUUAGAGAUAAGGUAGUUAGUUACCUGGCUGAGGUCAAGAUGCACAACGGACGGAUGCUUUUUCUUCUAGUCUGUUGCUGAAGUAAUCCUAAGAAGCAGGUUUUUAGUGAACCCAUUCUGCUUUCUGAUUGUCACCGUGGAGCUCAAGUGUGACAAGCCCGUGGUACACAGGCUGUGGAAGGUGACUUAGAGUUUUCAGUGGGCUUGCAAGCAAGUGGUCACCAACAGAGGCUCCAAAAAACUAGUUGACAUUGAGAUUUUACCAAUAGCAAUGCUGUUUGCAGAAUAAGGUAAACGGGGUAAGCAAAUGGAAAACUACUAGAUGUUGUGCAGUAAAGGCAUUACCUUCAAGCAAUUUAAUAAGUAUCACGGGGUGGAGGGUGGGGGGGAAGGAAUGCCAGCGAGCAAAGCUAAGAUUAGUAGUGAGUGGAGUUAUGGGGAGACAGACUUUAUUUUUACUAUGACUUUGUAGCCCUGAUCUGUCAAAUAGAAACCCUUUGCCUACUGUUCUCCACAGUUCUUGCGAUACCGUGGGGUAUGAUUCAUCUUGGAGCAGAACCUUGAAUUCACUUAAAGCACAAGUCUCUCUCCUCUGUCUUCUUACCUCUCCCGAGCCUUAAUUUCCUCUUAAGCAUGUUUGUUGUGUUCAUUCUAUUUGAAGAUCAUUCUUGAUAGGGAAGAUUAAAUCAGAAUAGUGUUGGGUAAUUUUCCUUUUUUAUCAUCACUAAAAAUUACGCCCUUUGUUCUCAAACUUUGGUGCAUAUUAGCGUCACCUGGGGAGCCUGUUAAAACUACAGAUGCCUGCUGGGGCGCCUGGGUGGCUCAGUCAGUUGAGCGUCCGACUUCAGUUCAGGUCAUGAUCUCGUAGUUCGUGAGUUCAAGCCCCACACUGGGCUCUGCAGAGCCAGCUUCUCAUCCUCUUAUUCAGUUUCUCUCUGCCCCUCUCCCUGCUCGUGCUCUCUCGAGGAUAAAUAAAACAUUAAAAAAAAAAAAAGUACAGAUGCCCGGGUUUUACCGCUGAACCAGAAUGUAUGAGGUGAAGGCUGCCUGAAUCUUAGCUGCAAGGCCCUGGGUUCUGCUGCUCACCCGGAGCUGAGGUACCUCGGGAGCUUCAUCCCCAUGGUCAGAUGAUGUGUGUGGGCAGCUAAGUGCCUCAGGCUGCUUCCUGGUUUUCCCAAGUGCAGCUCCUGGACUCCACCCUUCUGUCCAUUUCAGCUGCUGUUUUCCCUGUACACCCUUCCCUGUGUGCUGAGCCCUAGGCUGGGCUUGUGCCCUGUUUCUAUUAUGAUGCUGUCGGAGGGAGAUGUUAAAAAAUGCAUAUCUGAUUAUGUCACCCCAUGCUUGAAACACCUCCGUGACCUUUCACUGCACUUAGGAUAAAGCUGGAAACCUCUAGUGUGGCCCGGCAGGUUCUGCCUGGCCUGACUCCUCCUUGUGCUCCUCUCCCACUAUUUUGAACCUUUUGUCAGUAAUCCACCCACACUGGCUCUCUCAACUCCUCAAGAAACCAUACUGCCUCCAUCCCAGGAACUUGAUAUACACUGUUUGCUUUGCCUAAAGCUUUCUUACCCUCACCUACUAAUCUACUGGUUUUGCUGGCCAUUGAGUUCUUGACUUAAUUAUCACAUCACAUCAUAUCACAUCACAUCACAAGCCUUGACCCCCAGGUGUGACUACAGCCCCCCACUGUGUGUUGUUAUGGUGCCAAGAAAUCUCCUUUCUAGUACUUAUCACAGUUACAUGAUUAGUUGAUUAAUGUCAGUCUCCCCUACCAGAUUGUAAACUCCGUGAAGUUAGGGAUUAGGUCUGUCUUUAUCUCACUAUUAAUAUCUCUAGUGCCUAGCACAGUACCAGGGUAGGCUACUCAGAACAUGUUUUUUGAAUGAAUGGAUGGAUGGAUGGAUGGGUGAAUGAAUGACCAGGAGAUAAUUCUUAGGACAGUGGAUAUCAUCAUCUAUCUGACAAUAGGAAUCGCCAGGCCUGGGGACCUGUGAUACCCUCACUGCUAUAUCUGACCCCCUGGAUGUGGAUAUCAGCCUGAUUAGACCUGAACUGACUGUACCCACUUCAGUGUGAUAAUUUGAACUAAAGGUCACUUCCCCUGGCCAGCACCACAUCCCAGUUAUAUCUCAAGUUCUGGUUCUGUUUGUAUCUUAUUCCUUUCCCUCUGCCGGCUUUAACAUUGAGGUCCAGGAGAUGCCAAUUCUGAGGCCAGAUUAGGGGUGACAUAUGGUACAGACUCUUGAUUCAUCUAGUAGGUUGUUUUUUCUAAAUAAGAAAAUCACCCUCGUUUUUUAAAUAAGAUGGUUAUGAGUCUCAUUCAUCCAAAAGCUGUUGAUACUUUUAAGGCACUUACUCAUUACCUUGUCUUCAUUUAACUUCCUUCUGUUGUUUUUUUUUUGUUUUAACCUUUCGUUACGGGAUAUGACCUCUUAGACUCUACAUAGCAUUUCUCAUUCUCUUCCCUGCUGUCGUCUCCUAAGAGUUACUAAGUUCCUCUUCUCCCAUUGUCUGCUUUGUGACAUAACUUGUCAUGCCCGGCGUACCUUGCGUCGCAUCCAGUUUUAUCCAAGUAUCGUGCUGCUUUUUUUCUCCUCAAAUUUCAGUUGAAAGCCCUGUGAGUCAGUUGGGUUGGUCUUCUGCCAAAUGAACCUGGCAGCCAUCUUGGUCCGUUUGAGAAAGCCCUGGGUUGGGGUGGGGAGAGGAGGGGGAGUCAGAAUCCUGCUCUUGGUGCCUUCCGUGCUGAGAUGAGCCAUGAUGCUCCGUGACGGGAGAUGCUGUCGGUGUCAGCCAUCAGCUACCUUCAGCCCAAGUCAGCUCAACACACCUUCAGUAAUUUCAGUUACAACUGCUGUCUUCCAGAAAGGAGUGAGGGUAGGGAGCCCACUUUUCUGAGUAGUUAGAAUUAUAGCAUUUCGUCGCAGGAAAGCAUCUUAGAGAUAACACAUCCGUUCUCAUCUCAUCUUCCAGGUGCAGUGAGACUCGGGAGAAGGUAAAUUAGUGGUACACAGCUGCACACCUGUUGUCAAAGCCACCAGUCCAGGGCUCUUCCUGUGCUUGGAGGAGCCUGUUUGGCUUAGGAACCGUGUGUCCUAUUAGUCAAGAGAACGAGAAGUGAGUGGGAGAGCUCGUUCUAAAAAUCCAGUCUAGCUAAAAAGGUUAUGAGAGAAGACACAGAAUUUAAACAUUUACUAUUUAGUGUAAACUGUUUUGAAAUGGGAAUUAACUUACAUGUGGCUGUGCGUGUAUUUGUGUUAUGAAUGAUAGUGAUAUGGCAGAAAUAGUUUAGGAUAGGAAACUGUAAAUCUGCCUCUCUCUGUUGAGAUUAUGGGCUUUAUUCGACCCUGGUAGCAAUUGAGAGGUAUAAUUUUAAGCUAGUAAACUCUACACACAGUUCAUUUUAAGUACUCCAGUUUUCUUAAGAAAUAUUUGAUGUUUAUACAGACUAAGUAAUGAUUUGAGUAAUGAGUAGGGAAAAAAAUGGGUGGGGCUUUCUAACUGUACCCUGCCCCACCCCCCCCACCCCAGUACAGCAGGUGCUCACUCUAGACACACUGAGCUUUGGCAGAAACCAUCAGCCCUUGUCGGGUCACAUUACACAGAAGCCUGCUGGCACCAGAGACAGGAAGAAGCCUUUUGUGUGCUGGUUCAGGCUUUGCCCCUGCUAACUUGUUUCCUCCUAUCUCUGCGUGAAGUUCAACACCGCGUCCAUGGUGUGCCUUGUCGUGAGUGAUUCUUAGGAAAGCAGGCCCUUCUUCACACCCACAUAUGUUUAACCAAAGUGUUUACAAAAGGAGGCCUGCUAAGAGCAACCACUGAGUCUCCAUGCUUAGCUCUCACUGGGCUUUCACGCGGCUCUGUGCCCACUCUGCUCCCCCGCAACUCAAACUUAUUCAAACUUAAGAAAAGACACUGAUGUAUUUUCCUAGAGUCAGUUCAUUUUCCUAUGGUGCCUUUUCCCUAACUAUCUGCCUUCCUCUUCCUCUCUUUUUGUGACCCCAAGUGUAUGGAGCUUAAUUAUGCAGACAUGUAAUUAGCUUUUCAGUCAUUUGAAAGUAUGGAUGCUCUUAGAGCCAUGACUCUUUUUAUACCAUUUUAGGAGAUGAAUGGCCACUCCUUCCUUUUCCCCAUCCCUGUGACUGAACUUCAUAAGCUAUGGUCCAGCUCAAAGAAGAGAGCUUGCUUUCCUUGUAUCCAUAGGUUUAAAUAAAUGUUUGCCUCCAUUUUUGCCUGGUACUGAGACACCUUGAGACAUGGGAACCACUCUUCCCCAAUUAGCACGUGGGGGCAUCUCCUGGGUACUUGCCUUGUGUACUUUGUGUUUUGGGGGUUUAUAGCACUGAUCCCCAAGAAGCCCAAGCAGAAGGAUCACCCCCCCUGGCAAGAGAGCUUAUGAAAUCUACUCUGACAUUGAUGCUUCAUGGUUCAUUUCUAUCUUUAGAGUGUUUUUUAAAGACAGAAGUACAUGGUUUGAACAUUUUAAAAAAUUUUUUUAAUGUUUAUUUUCGAGAGAGAGAGACAGAGACAGAGAGAGACCGAGCACGAGCGGGGGAGGAGCAGAGAGAGAGGGAGACACAGAAUCCGAAACAGGCUCCAGGCUCUGAGCUGUCAGCACAGAGCCCGACGCGGGGCUCGAACUCACAAACCGUGAGCUCAUGACCUGUGCCAAAGCUGGAUGCUCAACCGAAUGAGCCACCCAGGUGAUAAUUUGCUGGUUCGCCAAAACAGCAUGCAAAAACUCCUUUCCCCCCACCCCUCAAAAGCCCUGUUAAGAUGGCAGUAAUGACUACUUGUACUUUGCAGUUGGGAAAGGGACAGAUAAGAACCUUGCCUGUGACUUAGUGAGUUGGGAGAGAAACUGGAAAGUGUACACAGAAUUCUGGGCUUCUGGUGUGUUUUAAAAAACAUAAGCCAUAUGGGGCAACCCCACACAGUGUUGGUAGUAGUCGUGUGUGUGACAGACCAUGCCUCAGAACCAAUGCUGAUGGAUUCUUUCUGUAAAACCUGAACUCUUAGUAACUAGAAUCGAUCUGUUCUUGCAAAGGAGACCCUGAUUUCUUCUGGAAGGGUACAGUUACAGAUCCGAGGUGUCUAUGAAAUAGCCUGACCUUAUGUGCCUGGUGGUAGUUCUUGGUAUGCUUGCACAGUUCCAUCGGGGGCCCAUUUUCUCACUGGCUUCAUGCAGGCCGUGGGAGCUCUCUGUGCCCUAGGCCCUCUCUCAUUUAGUCAUCUUGAUUUGCCACUUCCUGCCUGUGAGUAUGGCAGGCCCAUCAUAGAGGGAGGACCUGAUUUUCUCUCUCAAGUUUAUCUUACAGGUCAAACUUGACCCCAGCUGCCCUUCAAAACCCCCCUUUGUAGGUGAGAACAGAGACGCGUGGGAAGAAAUAGGGGCACAGUCCUAUGUAAACCCUCCUCUGAUAUUUAGGAUUCCAGAUUUCCCAAGCACUAAUGAGUAUGUGCGCAGGGAAAAAAAAAAAAAAAGCAACAC
Long non-coding RNA from Neofelis nebulosa (Clouded leopard), 6491 nucleotides. RefSeq lists it as uncharacterized. The record is from RefSeq and is a predicted model, not a curated record. Lineage: Eukaryota; Metazoa; Chordata; Mammalia; Carnivora; Felidae. The transcript has 2 exons.